GACGAACGCUGGCGGCGUGCCUAACACAUGCAAGUCGAACGGAAAGGCCCUGCUUUUGUGGGGUGCUCGAGUGGCGAACGGGUGAGUAACACGUGAGUAACCUGCCCUUGUCUUUGGGAUAACUUCAGGAAACUGGGGCUAAUACCGGAUAGGAGCUCCUGCUGCACGGUGGGGGUUGGAAAGUUUCGGCGGUUGGGGAUGGACUCGCGGCUUAUCAGCUUGUUGGUGGGGUAGUGGCUUACCAAGGCUUUGACGGGUAGCCGGCCUGAGAGGGUGACCGGGCACAUUGCGACUACGGUACGGCCCAGACUGCAACGGGAGGCAACAGUGGAAAGUCUUGCACAGUGGGCGGAAGCCUGAUGCGGAAGCGCCGCGUGCGGAAUGACGGCCUUCGGGUUAUGAACCGCUUUCGCCUGUGACGAAGCGUGAGUGACGGUAAUGGGUAAAGAAGCACCGGCUAACUACGUG
RNAcentral lists this ribosomal RNA (468 nucleotides) under uncultured bacterium. RNAcentral describes it as "partial 16S ribosomal RNA". It matches the Rfam family "Bacterial small subunit ribosomal RNA", at positions 28 to 507 of the family's 1533-position model. The record is from RNAcentral.